AGCAGGCUGUGGGGUCGCUCUCCGAAAGGAGAGAGGAAAGUCCGGGCUCCACAGGGCAGGGAGCUGGCGUUAAGCCAGGCAGGGGUGACCCUGCGGAUAGGACCACAGAGAAGAGACCGCCACCUAUAAGGUGGUAAGGGUGAAACGGUGGUGUAAGAGACCACCGCCUCUUUCCGCGAGGAGAGAGGGCACGGUAACCCCCUCCCGGAGCAAGGCUAAAUAGGCUGGCGUUUGAGGGUUGCCCGCCCGAUGCCAGCGGGUAAGCCGCAUAGAUAAAUGACCCCUUCAAACAGAACCCGGCUUACACGCCUGCUCC
This 316-nucleotide RNase P RNA is filed under the name uncultured Desulfurobacterium sp. RNAcentral's name for it is "Bacterial RNase P class A". It matches the Rfam family "Bacterial RNase P class A". From Rfam's summary of the family: Ribonuclease P (RNase P) is a ubiquitous endoribonuclease, found in archaea, bacteria and eukarya as well as chloroplasts and mitochondria. Its best characterised activity is the generation of mature 5'-ends of tRNAs by cleaving the 5'-leader elements of precursor-tRNAs. Lineage: Bacteria; Pseudomonadati; Aquificota; Aquificia; Desulfurobacteriales; Desulfurobacteriaceae. The record is from RNAcentral.